This 100-nucleotide small RNA is filed under the name Bacillus sp. (in: firmicutes). RNAcentral describes it as "Bacillus sp. Guanidine-I sequence". It matches the Rfam family "Guanidine-I riboswitch aptamer". From Rfam's summary of the family: This family represents a conserved RNA structure found upstream of the ykkC and yxkD genes in Bacillus subtilis and related genes in other bacteria. The function of this family is unclear although it has been suggested that it may function to switch on efflux pumps and detoxification systems in response to harmful environmental molecules. Lineage: Bacteria; Bacillati; Bacillota; Bacilli; Caryophanales; Bacillaceae. The record is from RNAcentral.
AAAAAGGUUUUCUAGGGUUCCGCAGCAGCUGCUGGCCUGGUCCGAGAGAAAACUCAUAGCUAUAAAAGCUAUGCCACGGAAGGAUAAAAGCCUGGGAGAU